GACAAUAAUCUGUGUGGGUUUCAUUUUUUUUUUCUCUCUCUAUAGGCCGCAUUGGAAGUUUCUACUUGGAAAUUUAUGCAUUGUUUUCUUUCAGAGGAGUUUAUCAGUAGGCAGAAGCUAGAUGGUGUUCCAGGCCUUGGAAACAUGAUGGAGAGAGCAACAGAGGGGAGUUAUAUCUCGUUUGGAUGUUAUCCUUUGGUGUGUCCUGGAGAGAAGAAAAUCCAGAAAGGAAUACUUCCCAUUCAAGCCAGCAGGAGGACUGGGAAAGUGGUCCUUGACUGGGCAGCUGCUCUCCAGAGACAACUCAUAACUCUGUACUAUAGAAGGAGAACUCUGAAUUUGGGGCACCCUCUUUCACCACCGCUGGACCUCACAACUUACAGGCUGUUUUUCAAGCUGUGAUCUCCACCAUCUACUAGAGAAUAACAACAACAAUAAUAAUACAGAGGUUCUCGGAAAACAAAGAGGAGGCAGAAGUAGCAUCUCGCUCAGGAAGCUGCAGGUGGAGACAGCUGCUGCAGAAUUCUAUUACCUUCACGAGACCUGUUGCCCUUAAGGGGAGAUGAUGGCCAAUGUCAGCCUUAAAACCACGGCAAGGUCAGUUGCUAGUAAAAUGGCUGUGGAGGAAGAGGGUGGGGGGAAAGAGUGUCCUUGGCAAAAAGUGGUCUGACACCUUGAUGAAUAAGCAAAGGCUCUACGGACAGAGAUGCUCUUCUGCACGGAUCCUCUUUUAUCCCUGGAAACUGCUAGAAACCCAGUUGCAAAAAAAGUCUCCCUUCUAACAGAACCCAUCACUUUAGAUCAGUCUGCUAACUGGUAAUAUUCCAUCAUUAUAUAACAGCGGAGGGAUGAUUUGAAAACAAAAGACCUAGGUUCAAGUGACUGUGCCAUUUCUGGAUGUGUGAUCUUAGGCGAGACGUUUAAUGUCUAUGAGUUUGGCUUUCUUGUAGGUAAAAUAUAGAUACUAGCAAUAUGAGACUUAAUUGAGCUGUUGUAUGUGGAGGUGUAUUUGCCUCUAGGUGAUCAUGCAGUUUAGGACAUUCUGUUUUGGUAUGCGCCGAGGAGGAGAAGAGGGUGCAGAUAAUGCUGCUAAUGAAUAAAGCUGCCUCCAAGCCCC
RNAcentral lists this long non-coding RNA (1117 nucleotides) under Ailuropoda melanoleuca (giant panda). RNAcentral's name for it is "lncRNA (ENSAMEG00000028178.1)". Lineage: Eukaryota; Metazoa; Chordata; Mammalia; Carnivora; Ursidae. The record is from RNAcentral.